GACGAACGCUGGCGGCGUGCUUAACACAUGCAAGUCGAACGAUGAAGUUCCUUCGGGAAUGGAUUAGUGGCGAACGGGUGAGGAACACGUGAGAAACCUGCCUUUCAUUUUGGGAUAACUCCGGGAAACCGGGGCUAACACCGAAUACUCCGUCUCGGCGGCAUCGCUGAGCCGGGAAAAAUUUUGAUGAAAGAUGGUCUCGCGGCCUAUCAGCUAGUUGGUGAGGUAAUGGCUCACCAAGGCAACGACGGGUAGCCGGCCUGAGAGGGCGACCGGCCACACUGGGACUGAGAAACGGCCCAGACUCCUACGGGAAGCAGCAGUGGGGAAUAUUGGGCAAUGGGCGCAAGCCUGACCCAGCGACGCCGCGUGAGGGAUGAAGGCCUUCGGGUUGUAAACCUCUUUCAGUAGGGAAGAAGCGAAAGUGACGGUACCUAAAGAAGAAGCACCGGCUAACUAUGUGCCAGCCGCCGCCGUAA
This 479-nucleotide ribosomal RNA is filed under the name uncultured bacterium. RNAcentral's name for it is "partial 16S ribosomal RNA". It matches the Rfam family "Bacterial small subunit ribosomal RNA", at positions 28 to 523 of the family's 1533-position model. The record is from RNAcentral.